This 22-nucleotide microRNA is filed under the name Macaca mulatta (Rhesus monkey). Its description in RNAcentral is "mml-miR-7196-3p". The record is from miRBase by way of RNAcentral. Lineage: Eukaryota; Metazoa; Chordata; Mammalia; Primates; Cercopithecidae.
AGCUCGAGUUCAGGGGCUGCAA